UUCUUACAGUUGAUUGUGCAACCUAAAGCCUCUGCUUUGUUAUAUAUGUGAAAAUAAUUCUACAUUAAUUCAUCUUUGCAAAACUUACUUGUCCAUCUUAUGUUGUUUUUGUGCCUCAGUAUGUUUCCUGCCCAGAACUUCUAGACAGACAUUACAACGUAGACAUGAUGGACAUUGAGCCCUCGAUUCAGCACCCUGUUACCAAAUCUGCCUCGAGAAGAAUUGUCCAUGCCAUAGCAGAACAGAAUGGAGCCUUUGACCCGACCUCUCGCCACUAUUCGCUCUCGCUGUGCCGUGAGCUGGAGCCAUACAGCGCCAUCAUCACAGCUAUCGGGGACAGCAAGACUAGUAAUAUCCGCCACCAUCCCAUCAAUUUUGAGAAUGCCACGCACUAUUACCUGUACAACAGGCUUAUUGAUUUUCUCACCAGCCGGGAGAUUGUGAACCGGCAAAUUCAUGACAUUGUCCAGAGCUGUCAGCCCGGAGAGGUGGUCAUCAGGGACACUCUGUACCGACUUGGUGUUGCACAGAUUAAAACAGAAAUAGAGGACAGUGUGUUGGAGGAAGAUAUUUUGUUGGAACAGUCAGUUUCUGUGUGACAGUUCCCGUUACACUACUUGUAUUCCAUAGAAAUAAAUGGAGACAAUCAACUCUUCCAGCGAGCAUGUUGGUAUUCUACAGCACAUUAAUUUUCAAACCAGAACGUCUAUUAGGAAAAAUCACAAUGCCAGGGUUAGGCUGCGAAGUCCCUGCUUAUCAUAAGAAAUUAAAUAAAUGCGCUUUAUUUGGUUUGAAGCCCAGGUACCAUUAUUCACUCGAGCAGAGCAGAAGUAGAUGGCUUGUUUGAUUCAUGAUGUUGAUUCAUUUAUGCCUGCCGAAAUAAUUUUCAGUGAAAUAAACAAAAAUCUUGUGGGAUUUCUAACCCAGUCCACGCUCACCUCCACUUUACGUUGAGGGCUUCAGAUGAUGAGUAGAGUCCCAAAGCUGCUAUCCAGAUCCUGCUUGAAGUCCUCCAUGAGCUGUUGUUUCUUGCCUACACACUUCUCUUACUACAUCCCAAGGAGUAGAUACUAUCAAUUAAAUCGCUUGGCCACAUACCCUGAGGAGUUAUAGAUAAGAGGAAACACUCUGUUUGCAUUUUACUCCCGGAACCAUGCAUGCACUCCACGUGUUUUACUCCAAAAACCCACAAAUAAAUAAACUUUGUGAACCAGUAACAUCAGAGAAAACCAUGUCAACGUUAUUUUAAAAAAAAAGACAAAAAAGUAAUUAACUGAUCCUAUAUAUGGGGUAACUGAACCUCAACUGAUUAUUUACAAUAAAAUAUGUGGGUUUGAGAUUA
This is a long non-coding RNA of Pseudophryne corroboree (corroboree frog), 1342 nucleotides long. RefSeq lists it as uncharacterized. The transcript is spliced from 2 exons. NCBI's taxonomy places the organism in Eukaryota, Metazoa, Chordata, Amphibia, Anura, Myobatrachidae. The record is from RefSeq and is a predicted model, not a curated record.